UACGUAGGGGGCUAGCGUUGUCCGGAAUCAUUGGGCGUAAAGCGCGUGUAGGCGGUCCGGUAAGUCCGCUGUGAAAGUCGGGGGCUCAACCCUCGGAUGCCGGUGGAUACUGUCGGGCUUGAGUACGGAAGAGGCGAGUGGAAUUCCUGGUGUAGCGGUGAAAUGCGCAGAUAUCAGGAGGAACACCAAUUGCGAAGGCAGCUCGCUGGGACGUUACUGACGCUGAGACGCGAAAGCGUGGGGAGCAAACAAG
This 253-nucleotide ribosomal RNA is filed under the name uncultured bacterium. Its description in RNAcentral is "partial 16S ribosomal RNA". It matches the Rfam family "Bacterial small subunit ribosomal RNA", at positions 524 to 776 of the family's 1533-position model. The record is from RNAcentral.